RNAcentral lists this ribosomal RNA (1242 nucleotides) under metagenome. RNAcentral's name for it is "bacterial LSU rRNA". It matches the Rfam family "Bacterial large subunit ribosomal RNA", at positions 1564 to 2815 of the family's 2925-position model. The record is from RNAcentral.
UGAAUACGAGAUGCUACGGCGUCGAAGCAGUCUGUGUCAUACUUCCAAGAAAAGCUCGCACUGUCAUAAACAAAUAAUGCCUGUACCAUAACCGACACAGGUGGGUAGGUAGAGUAUACUAAGGGGCGCGAGAUAACUCUCUCUAAGGAACUCGGCAAAAUGACUCCGUAACUUCGGGAGAAGGAGUGCCUUAUUUAUAAGGUUGCAAUAACAAGAUCCAAGCAACUGUUUAUCAAAAACACAGGUCUCCGCUAAGUCGUAAGACGAUGUAUGGGGGCUGACGCCUGCCCAGUGCCAGAAGGUUAAAGAAGUUGGUUAGCAUUCGCGAAGCUGAUAACUGAAGCCCUGGUGAACGGCGGCCGUAACAAUAACGGUCCUAAGGUAGCGAAAUUCCUUGUCGGGUAAGUUCCGACCCGCACGAAAGGCGUAAUGAUUUGGAUACUGUCUCGGAGAGGGGCUCGGUGAAAUAGACUUGUCUGUGAAGAUGCGGACUACCUGCACCAGGACAGAAAGACCCUAUGAAGCUUUACUGUAACUUGAGAUUGAAAUUGGACUUUACUUGCGCAGUAUAGGUGGGAGGCGUUGAUAAUAUUCUUGCGGGAUUAUUUGAGCCAUCAGUGAGAUACCACUCUUGUAAUGUUAGAUUUCUAACUUUGUAUCAUUAUCUGGUCAAAGGACAGUUUCAGGCGGGCAGUUUGACUGGGGCGGUCGCCUCCUAAACGGUAACGGAGGCGCACAAAGGUUUCCUCUGAACGGGUAGAAAUCGUAUCUAGAGUGUAAAGGCAUAAGGAAGCUUGACUGUGAGACCUACAAGUCGAGCAGGGACGAAAGUCGGUCUUAGUGAUCUGACGGUGCUGAGUGGAAAGGCCGUCACUCAACGGAUAAAAGUUACUCUAAGGAUAACAGGCUGAUCUCCCCCAAGAGUUCACAUCGACGGGGAGGUUUGGCACCUCGAUGUCGGCUCAUCGCAUCCUGGGGCGGUAGUACGUCCCAAGGGUUGGGCUGUUCGCCCAUGAAAGCGGUACGCGAGCUGGGUUCAGAACGUCGUGAGACAGUUCGGUCCAUAUCCGGUGUAGGCGUUAGAAUAUUGAGAGGAGCCUUCUUUAGUACGAGAGGACCGAGAAGGACAUACCUCUGGUGUACCAGUUAUCGUGCCAACGGUAAACGCUGGGUAGCUAUGUAUGGAGUGGAUAACCGCUGAAAGCAUCUAAGUGGGAAGCCCACCUCAAGAUAAGUAUUCUC